This is a non-coding RNA of Trichomalopsis sarcophagae, 45 nucleotides long. Lineage: Eukaryota; Metazoa; Arthropoda; Insecta; Hymenoptera; Pteromalidae. The record is from Rfam.
CAAUCGGCCCUUUUCAGGGCCACUAUAAUUUUCAAACGUUAAACA